Non-coding RNA from Brachypodium distachyon (stiff brome), 137 nucleotides. NCBI's taxonomy places the organism in Eukaryota, Viridiplantae, Streptophyta, Magnoliopsida, Poales, Poaceae. The record is from Rfam.
AACAUACUCCCUCCGUCCAACAAAAAAUGUCUCAAGUUUGUCAAAAUUUGGAUGUAUCUAGACAUGACUUAGUGUAUAGAUGCAUUCAAAUUUAGUCAAAGUUGAGACAAUCCUUUGUUGGACGGAGGAAGUACAUG